GACGAACCGAGCGAACGUUGUUCGGAAUCACUGGGCUUAAAGGGCGCGUAGGCGGGUGCUCAAGUCCGGGGUGAAAUCCUCCAGCUCAACUGGAGAACUGCCUCGGAUACUGGGUGCCUCGAGGGUGGUAGGGGUAUGCGGAACUAUCGGUGGAGCGGUGAAAUGCGUAGAUAUCGUUUGGAACGCCAAAGGUGAAAACAGACAGCUGGGAGUGUGCUGACGCUGAGACAUGAAAGCCAGGGGAGCGAACGGG
This 253-nucleotide ribosomal RNA is filed under the name uncultured bacterium. Its description in RNAcentral is "partial 16S ribosomal RNA". It matches the Rfam family "Bacterial small subunit ribosomal RNA", at positions 524 to 776 of the family's 1533-position model. The record is from RNAcentral.